Molecule: non-coding RNA, 113 nt
Organism: Punica granatum (pomegranate)
Lineage: Eukaryota; Viridiplantae; Streptophyta; Magnoliopsida; Myrtales; Lythraceae
Source: Rfam
UGGGGCGAUGAUGACUCAAUGAAAUUCAAGCUCAACAGACCGGAAUGCAGGGCCAAGGCUCUGAGGAGCUUUGCUUGCUUUGCGUGUCGACAACCCCGCUGAACUGAGUCCCA